GGGCCGUUGGAGCAGCCUGGAGUGCUCGUCUCCCUGUCACGGAGAAGAUCACGGGUUCAAAUCCCGUACGGCCCG
RNAcentral lists this transfer RNA (75 nucleotides) under Candidatus Sungbacteria bacterium RIFCSPHIGHO2_02_FULL_49_12. RNAcentral's name for it is "tRNA-Asp". It matches the Rfam family "tRNA". Rfam says of the family: Transfer RNA (tRNA) molecules are approximately 80 nucleotides in length. The record is from RNAcentral. Lineage: Bacteria; Candidatus Sungiibacteriota.